This 216-nucleotide ribosomal RNA is filed under the name Glomeromycotina sp. RNAcentral's name for it is "partial small subunit ribosomal RNA". The stretch from base 40 to 216 matches the Rfam family "Eukaryotic small subunit ribosomal RNA", at positions 686 to 864 of the family's 1831-position model. The record is from RNAcentral. Lineage: Eukaryota; Fungi; Glomeromycota.
GGGUCAGUAGGUUGGUCGUGCCACCGGUACGUACUGGUCUCACUGAUUCCUCCUUCCUGAAGAACCGUAAUGCCAUUUAUUUGGUGUUGCGGGGAAACAGGACUGUUACUUUGAAAAAAUUAGAGUGUUUAAAGCAAGCUAACGCUUGAAUACAUUAGCAUGGAGUAAUGAAAUAGGACGAUCGAUCCUAUUUUGUUGGUUUCUAGGAUUGACGUA